RNAcentral lists this ribosomal RNA (447 nucleotides) under uncultured bacterium. RNAcentral describes it as "bacterial SSU rRNA". It matches the Rfam family "Bacterial small subunit ribosomal RNA", at positions 329 to 793 of the family's 1533-position model. The record is from RNAcentral.
GGCCAGACUCCUACGGGAGGCAGCAGUGGGGAAUAUUGCACAAUGGGGGAAACCCUGAUGCAGCGACGCCGCGUGAGCGAUGAAGUAUUUCGGUAUGUAAAGCUCUAUCAGCAGGGAAGAAAAUGACGGUACCUGAUUAAGAAGCCCCGGCUAACUACGUGCCAGCAGCCGCGGUAAUACGUAGGGGGCAAGCGUUAUCCGGAUUUACUGGGCGUAAAGGGAGCGUAGACGGUGAUGCAAGUCAGAAGUGAAAGCCCGGGGCUCAACUCCGGGACUGCUUUUGAAACUGUGUAACUGGAGUGCAGGAGAGGUAAGUGGAAUUCCUAGUGUAGCGGUGAAAUGCGUAGAUAUUAGGAGGAACACCAGUGGCGAAGGCGGCUUACUGGACUGUAACUGACGUUGAGGCUCGAAAGCGUGGGGAGCAAACAGGAUUAGAUACCCCAGUAU